CUUCCGUUAGGCGCGCGCGCCUGACAGGUGCAUUCUUAUCUUGUUUAUGUUCCCUGCACGAGGUCGUGUGUCGGGGAGGGGGCUGCUAUCGUCUAGCUUCCUAACUUUUGUUUCUUCUCUGGUUAGUUCAUGCAUGACUGUUGACGGAGUUACUUCAAGGAUGUGGCAGCUAUUUUCACCCUGCAGGUGCAGCGCGACUACUGACGAUGGCUGGGAAAAAAAUAAUUUAUAACUUGGAUAAUCCUGAAGACGUCAAGAAAAUCCAUAGUAUGCUGUUUGAUGAUACUUCGGGAGAUGAGGACUUUGGAGAACAAUCUGAUUCUGAUAGUGAAGAUCAGAUACACGAGCGAGAGGAAAAUUCAGACACUGAGCAAAGCUGUAAUGAAUCAGAUGGUGAUGAUCCCGGUAAUGCAUCUUACUACAUGGCAAACCAUAAGAAAAAUGGUAAGAUCGUCGAUUCGUACCAAUGGAACAAAUGCCCAUGUCCGAACAAGAGGAGAAGAGGUAAGCAAAAUUUGUUAUUACACAUCCCUGGGGUUAUAGGAACAGCAAUGAAUGCUGAAACCAUUUAGAUACCUGGCUUAUUCUUUUUGAUGAGUCAAUACUCGACUCUGUUGUUGCAUGGACAAACCAACAUAUUGAACUUGUAAGACCUCAAUUUAAUCGCCUCAGAGAUGCACGUUCGACGGAUGUAAUAGAGAUGAAGGCUUUUAUGGGUUUGUUGUACCUAGCUGGUGUGUAUCGUGGGUCACGCCUGAACUUAGAAGACCUUUGGGAUCCCUCUGGGGAUGGUGUUGAAACAUUUAGGCUCACCAUGUCCUUAAAACGCUUCCGAUUUUUGAUGAGGUGUAUUCGAUUUGACAACAAAGAGACGAGAAA
Bacillus rossius redtenbacheri is the source of this 879-nucleotide long non-coding RNA. RefSeq lists it as uncharacterized. The record is from RefSeq and is a predicted model, not a curated record. NCBI's taxonomy places the organism in Eukaryota, Metazoa, Arthropoda, Insecta, Phasmatodea, Bacillidae. The transcript has 2 exons.